AGGAAUACAGACUAGUUAAAGUUACGCUAUUAGCAUUCUCUGUUGGAAGGUUAUCGAGUAAGUUUUUAUGUUGAUUCGUUAAAUUUAUGGUUUUUCUUUUUUUGCUUUGCAUAGUAUACUUUGAGAUGGUUGUUUAAGUGUGUUGCAUGAAUCUCUGAUAGUCACUCGUUUGGUUCCCUGUUAGGCAUGGAUAUUGAGACUAGCGAACCUCAGCAAGUCAAUUCGAGUAAUCGUCGUUGAUUUUCUAUAAGUUUUGGUUUAGUUGAAUGUUGAUGUCGAAAUUUUCGACUUAGGUACUUUGAGUAUAAUUGUGCAU
RNAcentral lists this long non-coding RNA (316 nucleotides) under Gossypium barbadense (sea-island cotton). Its description in RNAcentral is "long non-coding RNA (GBAR_LNC007379)". The record is from RNAcentral. Lineage: Eukaryota; Viridiplantae; Streptophyta; Magnoliopsida; Malvales; Malvaceae.